This 638-nucleotide ribosomal RNA is filed under the name uncultured Stenotrophomonas sp. Its description in RNAcentral is "bacterial SSU rRNA". It matches the Rfam family "Bacterial small subunit ribosomal RNA", at positions 515 to 1151 of the family's 1533-position model. Lineage: Bacteria; Pseudomonadati; Pseudomonadota; Gammaproteobacteria; Lysobacterales; Lysobacteraceae. The record is from RNAcentral.
CCGCGGUAAUACGAAGGGUGCAAGCGUUACUCGGAAUUACUGGGCGUAAAGCGUGCGUAGGUGGUCGUUUAAGUCCGUUGUGAAAGCCCUGGGCUCAACCUGGGAACUGCAGUGGAUACUGGGCGACUAGAGUGUGGUAGAGGGUAGCGGAAUUCCUGGUGUAGCAGUGAAAUGCGUAGAGAUCAGGAGGAACAUCCAUGGCGAAGGCAGCUGCCUGGACCAACACUGACACUGAGGCACGAAAGCGUGGGGAGCAAACAGGAUUAGAUACCCUGGUAGUCCACGCCCUAAACGAUGCGAACUGGAUGUUGGGUGCAAUUUGGCACGCAGUAUCGAAGCUAACGCGUUAAGUUCGCCGCCUGGGGAGUACGGUCGCAAGACUGAAACUCAAAGGAAUUGACGGGGGCCCGCACAAGCGGUGGAGUAUGUGGUUUAAUUCGAUGCAACGCGAAGAACCUUACCUGGCCUUGACAUGUCGAGAACUUUCCAGAGAUGGAUUGGUGCCUUCGGGAACUCGAACACAGGUGCUGCAUGGCUGUCGUCAGCUCGUGUCGUGGGAUGUUGGGUUAAGUCCCGCAACGAGCGCAACCCUUGUCCUUAGUUGCCAGCACGUAAUGGUGGGAACUCUAAGGAGACCG